Poecilia reticulata (guppy) is the source of this 362-nucleotide non-coding RNA. The record is from RefSeq and is a predicted model, not a curated record. Lineage: Eukaryota; Metazoa; Chordata; Actinopteri; Cyprinodontiformes; Poeciliidae.
AGAAGAGGCUCUAUGUGGUUAUUAUCUCUUUGGGGAUCCUGAGUGUUGGCCUCAUUACUGGACUCAUCAGACUUGGUUUCCACACUCAUGCAUUAUCCAGCUCGGCAGCAGGUCUCUCAAAAGACAAUCUGACUGACCGUCUACAGACCAGUAAUGACCAGCUUUCUGUCAUGACUAAASAAAGAGACCAAUUGAAUGCAACACUCUUGGAAUUGUCUAAUGAAGUGACCAGGCUUCAGAGUUUGUCAAGAUGGAGCGUGUUCAGAGGUUCUUGUUAUCUCCUCUCUGAAACAUCUGGYUCCUGGUAUGAAGGCAGAGCGGACUGYAGGAAGAGAGGAGGAGAUCUGGUGGUGAUAGAUGAU